RNAcentral lists this transfer RNA (68 nucleotides) under Pyrocoelia analis. Its description in RNAcentral is "tRNA-Gln". The record is from RNAcentral. Lineage: Eukaryota; Metazoa; Arthropoda; Insecta; Coleoptera; Lampyridae.
UAUAUUUUAGUAUAUAAUGUACGAAGGUUUUUGAUACUUUAGGGGUAGUUUAAUUCUAUAAAAUAUAA